This is a long non-coding RNA of Neofelis nebulosa (Clouded leopard), 1108 nucleotides long. RefSeq lists it as uncharacterized. NCBI's taxonomy places the organism in Eukaryota, Metazoa, Chordata, Mammalia, Carnivora, Felidae. The record is from RefSeq and is a predicted model, not a curated record. The transcript is spliced from 4 exons.
AGAUGAGGUAGGGGAAGAGGCCAUACAUUUGGGCUUUCGUGCAUGUCAUGGUGUGGCUAAGUUGGAAACGUGGUAAUGAGAAAAGAUUUCCUAGAGAGACUGAUAGUGCCCAGGAUCCUGUGCCGGCAAUGGCUGCCACUUUCUGGCUGUGUGAUCACGGGCAUAGCUGAGACUAUAAAAAGUGUGAAUAAAUGAACACGGUGUUGGAGAGAAGAGAAACAUCAUGUGCUAUUCCAUCGGCAACGGGAGGAUUCUUUGGAGCCAGUGUUGCCUUGGUGGGUGUGAGGUUCUUAUCUGCAACCUUGGGAAAUCCGAGUUUUCUCUCUUCCAGGGGUGUAACGACUGAGUAUUGAUACGUAAGAGAAAAGGAGACAGCAGCUACCUACAGAGAAGCACUCUCAGCAAGGCCUGAGGGCCACCCACGAAACACAGACCCACCACUUCUGGCUCCGUGACCAUCACCCCGCUCGAGGCCCCUGUCAGUUCUCCGGAGGAAGACCGUUCAAAGAUCUUCUCAUCAUGUGCCCCGUUUCCACUUUGGCUCUACCAAACCCACCUCCUGUGCAACGGCUGGAACAAUCGUCUCACAAUCUAAGUAGAAUUGCAUCACUGCCCCGCUCAUAGCGGAGUGAGACCUAUCUAUCUGCCCGUUGGAACGGGCCCCAGCCCCUGGCUAUGUCGCCUGCCUUGACUUGCCUUCCUACCUCUCUCCAGCCCCAGCCGCUCCGCCUCCCUGGCUGCUUUUGGGAACCUCAGACACUCCAGCCCUGGGCUCGGUCUUCCGGGCUGCCCCUUCCCUUGUAGAGGUCUCCACUGAAUGGUCACCUGCUCAGAGAGGCUUUCCCUGGUCCUCAGGCAUGCGCUCGUCCUAUUUAUUUCAUGCCGUUCCUAGCUUUCGUCUCGGUCUGCGCUGUUGUUGACUUGCGUGUUGAUGUGUUUCCUACCCGUCUCUUCUUCCCAGGACGCACGUUGCAAGAGCCCUCUUAGGACAUGCCGAUGUGCUCGGUACCUGAACAGGGGAACAGGUUUGCCGCCUGGAAGCACAAACACACUCUGAAUUAUCGGGAUUGAGUGGCAGAGAAAUACAGCAUGUUAGGGUUGCCAGGGU